CACUUCUAAGGAAGGCAGCAGGCGCGCAAAUUACCCAAUCCUGACUCAGGGAGGUAGUGACAAGAAAUAACAAUAAACCGGCUUAUGCCGGUUUAAUUGGAAUGAGUACAAUUUAAACAUCUUAACGAGGAACAAUUGGAGGGCAAGUCUGGUGCCAGCAGCCGCGGUAAUUCCAGCUCCAAUAGCGUAUACUAAAGUUGUUGCAGUUAAAAAGCUCGUAGUUGGAUUUCUGUGGGGACGGAGCGGCCGGCCGCAACACGCGGUUCGAGCUAGCGCUUUCCCUACAUCCUGCCGCGAACCGUGCUACCAUUAAUUUGGUGGCGCCGGGGAUCGGCUCGAUUACUUUGAGAAAAAUAGAGUGUUCAAAGCAGGCCACAUGCCUUGAAUAAGUUAGCAUGGAAUAAUAACUAAGGACUUCGGUUCUAUUUUGUUGGUGUUCGGGACUGAAGUAAUGAUUGAUAGGGACAGUUGGGGCGGUCUGUAUUCCAAAGCGAGAGGUGAAAUUCUUAGACCUUCGGAAGACAAACAGCUGCGAAAGCGUUCCGCAAGGAUGUUCCCUUUGAUCAAGAACGAAAGUUGGGGGAUCGAAGACGAUCAGAUACCGUCGUAGUCUCAACUAUAAACUAUACCAGCUAGGGAUCGGCCAACGUUAUUUUAUACCGACUUGGUCGGCACCUUAUGAGAAAUCAAAGCAUCUGGGUUCCGGGGGGAGUAUGGUCGCAAGGCUGAAACUUAAAGGAAUUGACGGAAGGGCACCACCAGCCGUGGAGCCUGUGGCUUAAUUUGACUCAACACGGGAAAACUUACCAGGUCCAGACAUAGUAAGGAUUGACAGAUUGAUAGCUCUUUCUUGAUUCUGUGGGUGGUGGUGCAUGGCCGUUCUUAGUUGGUGGAGUGAUUUGUCUGGUUAAUUCCGUUAACGAACGAGACCCCAGCCUGCUAAAUAGCGCGCGUGAGCUUUGCUCGCGGCGAGCUUCUUAGAGGGACUAUGAUGCGCGAUAGCACAUGGAAGUUUGGGGCAAUAACAGGUCUGUGAUGCCCUUAGAUGUUCUGGGCCGCACACGGGCUACACUGGCGCCUGCAACGAGCAUAUCAGCUGGCCCGAGAGGGUCUUGGCUAAUCUUUUGAACCGGCGCCGUGCUUGGGAUUGACCUUUGCAAUUGUUGGUCAUGCAACGAGGAAUGCCUUGUAAACGCGAGUCAUCAGCUCGCAUUGAAUACGUCCCUGCCCUUUGUACACACCGCCCGUCGCUCCUACCGAUGAAUGUUCCGAUGAAAUUUUCGGAGAGUGCCUGUGAACUUGGCUCUGCCUUGCGAACGGGAGGCUCAAAGUCACUUAAAUCUGAACAUUUCGAGG
Molecule: ribosomal RNA, 1356 nt
Filed under: uncultured marine eukaryote
Lineage: Eukaryota
Description: SSU rRNA
Rfam family: Eukaryotic small subunit ribosomal RNA
Source: RNAcentral